CUUCAAAAAACAAUCAAUUUUCAAAUUAACAAAAUCAUUCCAUACCAAUAUUUGCUCUUAUCAGUCUUCUUAAAGAGUGUACCCGAGAACAAAGUUAUUUUCAUACGAAAUCUCUCGAGAGUAAUCUCGAUAAAAUGCAUUACUGCCAAAGCAAGCACAUAAAAUUUCAAAAAUAGCAAAGCUGAUAAAAAAUUUCGUAAUUCACAUAAAAUCGUUUUUGAACGAUGUAACAUAAAACAUUUCGUUCGAUUUCGAUUUUGAUCGAGGAAGCACGCUCUCUGUCGUUAGGGACGUCGACGAACGAUUGUUCUCCCAGAAUACCGUGAAAGUGAGAGAGAGAGAGAGAAAGCUGUGAUUCAGCUGGAGCUCGCGCGAAUCGAGAGCGACUCAAGUUCAAUGAUAAUCGAGACGGACUUGGCACGCGUCACGCGACCGGAUUCUCUCUUCGUUGAUCUUGGACCGAUAGUGGCGCCACGCUAGCUACAGACAUGGCGUCGAUCAUGUUUCUGGGCGAAACAGAUCUGUCAGCGAAACAACGGCUCUGCAACGUGUGUAUUGCCUCGUGUUCAACGAAGCUUCUUAAAAGAAUGUAUUAAGGCAAAUCGAUUAUUUAAACAGACAGUGAGACACAUUUCGAUUGAAAGAGACUUAGAAAUAAAUAUCGACUCGGAAAAAAAUAAAA
Apis dorsata (giant honeybee) is the source of this 682-nucleotide long non-coding RNA. RefSeq lists it as uncharacterized. NCBI's taxonomy places the organism in Eukaryota, Metazoa, Arthropoda, Insecta, Hymenoptera, Apidae. The record is from RefSeq and is a predicted model, not a curated record. The transcript is spliced from 2 exons.